Long non-coding RNA from Triticum dicoccoides, 306 nucleotides. RefSeq lists it as uncharacterized. The record is from RefSeq and is a predicted model, not a curated record. The transcript is spliced from 2 exons. Lineage: Eukaryota; Viridiplantae; Streptophyta; Magnoliopsida; Poales; Poaceae.
UACAACUUCUCCGUAAGAAAUAGACACACUAGAUUCAUACACCUACCUUUGAAAAAUAUCAAUUUUUUGGCCAUAGGUGCUGAGUCCAAUGCGUAGAAUCUUCUAGAACCAUCUAUGACUUCAGCACCAAGGGAAAGGAGGGGCAGAGGAAGAGGCACAAUAAUGCCCAACUAUGGAUGUGGGAGGAGACCUUUAUGAACUCUAGGUCUGAUGUGUAGUCUUGGCAGAAAGAAACCACAAUGCAUAUACUUUUCAUCUUGCAAGAUGUAGCACUCAUGAUCAUAAUAAUGUAUCCUUUUGAAAUUA